UUCAUUUCACUCAUUCCAUCUUUCAUUCCACUCGUUUCAUAUUUCAUUCCACUCAUUUCAUCUAUAACCUCGCUUUCAAGAAACAGAACGUAGUUAUUUCUCAGACGAUUGAUUUCUUCACUGAGUUUUUCAACUUCCUUUGUAGGAAAAUCUGAUUCUUUCAUGUUGCCAAUCCUCUCCAGAGAUGUCGUGCUAAAAUUCAAAGCAGUGAACACGUCUUUGACGUGCUUGACAUAGUCAUCGAACGUGACUUUAUUAAUUUGAGGGCUGGAUGUAUGACAAAGGGUGUUUCGUAAAAGACGAAGCUGGUCAAUGGCAAGUGCAAUCGUUUCAUUUGCA
Paramuricea clavata is the source of this 339-nucleotide non-coding RNA. The record is from the annotation of a GenBank genome assembly. Lineage: Eukaryota; Metazoa; Cnidaria; Anthozoa; Malacalcyonacea; Plexauridae.